This 254-nucleotide ribosomal RNA is filed under the name uncultured bacterium. Its description in RNAcentral is "partial 16S ribosomal RNA". It matches the Rfam family "Bacterial small subunit ribosomal RNA", at positions 524 to 776 of the family's 1533-position model. The record is from RNAcentral.
UACGUAGGUGGCGAGCGUUGUCCGGAUUUAUUGGGCGUAAAGCGCGCGCAGGCGGUCGCGUAAGUCUGCUGUGAAAUCUCCCUGGCUCAACCGGGAGGGGGCGGCGGAGACUGCGGGACUGGAGGGACCUAGAGGCCGGUGGAAUUCCCGGUGUAGUGGUGAAAUGCGUAGAGAUCGGGAGGAACACCUGUGGCGAAAGCGGCGCACUGGACCACAACUGACGCUGAGGCGCGAAAGCUAGGGGAGCAAACAGG